RNAcentral lists this long non-coding RNA (348 nucleotides) under Homo sapiens (human). RNAcentral's name for it is "non-protein coding lnc-CD180-17:2". The record is from RNAcentral. Lineage: Eukaryota; Metazoa; Chordata; Mammalia; Primates; Hominidae.
AGACCUGAGGAAGUGCCCACAUGGCGUGUCUGCCAUGGGGGAAUGCAGCUUUGCUGUCAUUGUCACUGAGCUGCCAUUUAACUGAAGGUUUACAGCAGCCCCAAAGUGUCUGCUGGCCUCCUCAUGGAAAGUGGAAAAGGCAAGGGCAGGGAAGGGCUCAUCUGAGUGACACUCUGUGCUGCCUGCUCUUCCUCCACUGCUUGACUUGGCAUCUGUCAUGGGUUAUGUAAACAAAUAAGAGGAACAAUCCACGCAGGGCCACUGGCUUUAACAUGCCUUUCCUGUGUCCCAGGGUGUGCGUAAGCAGGGAACACAGUGGGUGAUGACAGGGGUUUGUUCCUGCCUAGA